GAUGAACGCUAGCGGCAGGCUUAAUACAUGCAAGUCGUGGGGCAGCAGGACUGUAGCACUACAGUUGCUGGCGACCGGCAAACGGGUGCGGAACACGUACGCAACUUACCCUGAACUGGGGGAUAGCCCGGGGAAACCCGGAUUAAUACCCCGUAAUAUAAUGGAGUGGCAUCACUUUAUUAUUAAAGCUCCGGCGGUUCGGGAUGGGCGUGCGGCUGAUUAGGUAGUUGGUUGAGGUAACGGCUCACCAAGCCUACGAUCAGUAACUGGUGUGAGAGCAGGCACCGUCCACCGGGCCCUGGGACCCGGGCCCGCUCCCUCGGGGGGGAACCAGUAAGGAAUUUUGGGAAAGGGGGGCAACCCUGACCCCGCCAUGCCGGGGGGGGGAUGAAGGCCCUUGGGGUUUUAAACUUCUUUUAUAGGGGACGAAACCUGUGUAUUCUUACGCAGUUGACGGUACCCUAGGAAUAAGCCCCGGCUACCUCCGU
This 488-nucleotide ribosomal RNA is filed under the name uncultured bacterium. RNAcentral's name for it is "partial 16S ribosomal RNA". It matches the Rfam family "Bacterial small subunit ribosomal RNA", at positions 28 to 506 of the family's 1533-position model. The record is from RNAcentral.